Molecule: ribosomal RNA, 513 nt
Filed under: uncultured bacterium
Lineage: Bacteria
Description: partial 16S ribosomal RNA
Rfam family: Bacterial small subunit ribosomal RNA
Source: RNAcentral
GACGAACGCUGGCGGCAUGCCUAAUACAUGCAAGUCGAGCGAACAGAUGAAGUGCCUGCACUUCUGACGUUAGCGGCGAACGGGUGAGUAACACGUAAGGAAUCUACCUAUAAGCGGGGGAUAACAUUCGGAAACGGGUGCUAAUACCGCAUAAUAUCUUCUUCCGCAUGGAAGAAGAUUGAAAGACGGCUCUGCUGUCACUUAUAGAUGACCUUGCGGUGCAUUAGGUAGUUGGUGGGGUAACGGCCUACCAAGACGAUGAUGCAUAGCCGACCUGAGAGGGUGAUCGGCCACAUUGGGACUGAGACACGGCCCAAACACAUACGGGAGGCAGCAGUAGGGAAUCUUCCGCAAUGGGCGAAAGCCUGACGGAGCAAUGCCGCGUGAGUGAAGAAGUCCUUCGGGUCGUAAAACUCUGUUAUAAGAGAAGAACAAAUUGUAGAGUAACUGCUACAGUCUUGACGGUAUCUUAUCAGAAAGCCACGGCUAACUACGUGCCAGCCGCCGCAGUAA